UCCAAUCAUAAGAUGCCACGUGCUACUAAAAAUAUAUGGGAGGGUGUUUUGAUAAAAAUAUAACGGUGGAGACAUAUUUGAAAAAAAAUCCAAACAAAGGAUAAAUAUGGCCUAUUUUUAAUAGUAUAAGGAUAUAUUUGACCCUUAAUCAUAAUUUAAAUAUUUGCGAGAGUGUUUUAACGGCUGAGGGAUAUAUAUGGCCCUAAUGUAUAACGGUGGGGACAUAUGUAAAGAACUCAAACGGAGGAUAAAUAUGACCUAUUUUUAAUAGUACAAGGAUAUAUUUGACCCUUAACCGUUCCAUCUAUGAGGGCUAACUGAUCGUAGUUACUUUUGACCCAUUCGACAUGAUCUAACUAUGCUUCUUGUAUGACCCUCAAGGAGGGAAUUUCUACCUCGGAAAGGAUGGCCGCCUUCUAUUGUUAAUUACUUUGAUGUUAAAGCUUGGUGUUAGACAAAAGGGGUUGCUAUGAUGGUAAGCAACACCCACUUCCAACCGAGAGGUUGUGAGUUCGAGUCUCCCCAAGAGCAAGNNN
RNAcentral lists this long non-coding RNA (536 nucleotides) under Nicotiana benthamiana. Its description in RNAcentral is "long non-coding RNA (NBEN_LNC028192)". Lineage: Eukaryota; Viridiplantae; Streptophyta; Magnoliopsida; Solanales; Solanaceae. The record is from RNAcentral.